CUGGCGGAGAGCACCGCCCCUGAGUGCUGAUGCUGGUGGGCGGGAGAGGAAAUGGAAUUCCCCAGGCCGGCCGGCGCGCGCGCAGACGCAGCUCCCCUCGGCGUCCAAUCGGGGGUGCGCUGUGGGAGGGGCCGCGGGGUCCCGGUUUCCGGUGGCCCAGGUGAUGGAGAUUUCUUCCCGCGGUCCUCGGAGGGAUUGAGCCGCGGAAGGAGGCUCCCCUGAAAUUAGGGACGGUAAUUUGAAACAGAUCCAGGCUGAGUGCUGAUAGCGCCGCCACGUGCGGGACGAUGUGCGUGGUAAACCCCGAGGGCCCAAUCCGACCAGCGGCCUGCAGGGGUCUGCGUUAGCACAGCCUUAACAAUGCGGUUUAAUUGUGGUCGGAUUGCAUUGAGCCUUGGUCCCCGAUGUCAGGCUAAAUCAGGUCUCCUUCACUACUACGUAGAUGACGCCUGCCCUUUCUCAGCUGCUGUGUUGUAAAUGUCAUAAUGUGAAUGGACACUGACACUGUAGGCUGGACAGAAGCCAGGGUGCAGUGAUUAGUGGGAAACACUGGAACCUACAAUCAGGAACUCAACAUAAAGGGAGGACAAUGAAGAAGAUUCAAAGAAACCAGUUCCCGUUGCCCUAAUCUAACAAGCUUCAACGUAAAAGUACACUGAAACUUCACUGCUAUGCAACAAAGCACAGCACAGUGGGACAAAUUUGAGGGAAGGGACAGCAUCCCAGCUAUAAGAAAAGUACUUGUGAUGGCUACCUUUGACACGUUAUGUGUCAACUUGACUGGGUAGACGGAUGCCCAGAUGGUUGGUAAACACUAUUCCUGGUGAAUCCUUAAGAGUGUUCUUGGGAGAGAGUACCCUUUGAAUCAGUGGACUGAGACCUAAGAAGACCGCCCUCAAUGCAAACAAGUUUUUCAAUUCAUUGAGAUUUUGAAUAAAAUUUAAUUGCAGAAGAAAGGAAACCUGCUUCUUUUUUCUUACAUGCAUCUUCUCCGGCCCCAGAUGGACAUCAGUACUUAUGGUUUUCUGACCUUUGGAUUCACAAUGAAGCUUUUAUAGCUUCCUCCACUCUACCCUCCAAACCCUCAGACUUGGACUGAUUUAUCCCACUACCUUUACUUGUUCACCAUUAUGUAAAAGUAACUUUUGGGACUUAGUGGCCUUCGUGAUAGUGUCCGAGCCAAUGUCAGUGUUUCUUUGGAAAACUGUAAUUAAUGCAUUCCUCUCUGCUCUUACUUUAGAACACAGAAUUCAGUUUAAUACUAUUAUUGUCACUUAGUUUCACAAAACUUAAUUAGCUCUUUUGUGUGUUAUCUUGAAAUAAAGUCACUGUAAUGUUCUUAUGUUUCAAAGGCAUUCUGUCUUUCAACGAAAGUAACUUACAAGUACAGUUUUUAAAAACAAUCUCAGGAGCUUGAGAGAUGGUUCAGCAAUGAAAGAGCACUG
This is a long non-coding RNA of Microtus ochrogaster (prairie vole), 1445 nucleotides long. RefSeq lists it as uncharacterized. The transcript has 4 exons. The record is from RefSeq and is a predicted model, not a curated record. Lineage: Eukaryota; Metazoa; Chordata; Mammalia; Rodentia; Cricetidae.